RNAcentral lists this transfer RNA (72 nucleotides) under Mus musculus (house mouse). Lineage: Eukaryota; Metazoa; Chordata; Mammalia; Rodentia; Muridae. The record is from Rfam by way of RNAcentral. RNAcentral also lists the same sequence under 1 other name.
GGGGGUGUGGCUCAAUGGUAGAGCACUUGCUUAGCAUGCUCAAGGCCCUGAGUUCAAUCCCCAGUACCACAG